UUCCGGUUGAUCCUGCCGGACCCUACUGCUAUCGGGGUGAGACUAAACAAUGCAAGUCGUGCGUCUCAAGCUAUGGUGAGACGCGGCAAACGGCUCAGUAACACGUGGCCAACCUACCCUUAGGACGGGGACAACCCCGGGAAACUGGGGCUAAUCCCCGACAGGCGAAGAGGCCUGGAAUGGUUCUCCGCUCAAAGGGCAUUGGGGACAUGCUUCCCAGCGUUGCCUAAGGAUGGGGCCGCGGCCGAUCAGGUUGUUGGUGAGGUAACGGCCCACCAAGCCUUUAACCGGUACGGGCCAUGAGAGUGGGAGCCCGGAGAUGGGCACUGAGACAAGGGCCCAGGCCCUACGGGGCGCAGCAGUUGCGAAAACUCCGCAAUGCGCGAAAGCGUGACGGGGCUACCCCGAGUGCCAUCCGCUGAGGAUGGCUUUUCCACGGUGUAAGGAGCCGUGGGGAUAAGGAGAGGGCAAGCCUGGUGUCAGCCGCCGCGGUAAUACCAGCUCUCCGAGUGGUGGGGACGAUUAUUGGGCUUAAAGCGUUCGUAGCCGGCUCAGCAAGUCUUCCGUUAAAUCCAACGACCUAAUCGUUGGGCUGCGGGAGAUACUGUUGGGCUAGGGGGCGGGAGAAGCCGACGGUAUCCUCAGGGUAGGGGUGAAAUCCUAUAAUCCCGGGAAGACCACCAGAGGCGAAGGCGGUCGGCUAGAACGCGCCCGACGGUGAGGGACGAAAGCUGGGGGAGCGAACCGGAUUAGAUACCCGGGUAGUCCCAGCCGUAAACGAUGCGGGCUAGGUGUUGGGGCGGUCACGAACCGCCUCAGUGCCGCACGGAAGCAAUUAAGCCCGCCGCCUGGGGAGUACGGUCGCAAGGCUGAAACUUAAGGAAUUGGCCGGGGGGAGCACCCACAAGGCGUUGAAGCUUGGCGGUUUAAUUGGAGUCAACGCGGA
This 946-nucleotide ribosomal RNA is filed under the name uncultured archaeon. Its description in RNAcentral is "bacterial SSU rRNA". It matches the Rfam family "Archaeal small subunit ribosomal RNA", at positions 1 to 921 of the family's 1478-position model. The record is from RNAcentral.